UAUCAAUAUAGAUCAUAUUAAGUAUUGUUAGUUAUAGGUUGAGCAAGAAAUUACUAAAUUGGUAACAUAUACCUACAUAUAUAGACAAUGCUGAACUGAAUGCAAAUCGCUUGUUAAAGUCAUCUUACAAGCGAUUGGCCUAACUUCCAGCUAAUGGCCAAACAUAUAGCCACAAAACAACAAAAUCAAGGCGUUCAUGUUUUGCGCUUAAGAAAAUUCAUGCAUUUGAUAAUGGAUCGGUCAAAACGUCCUAUAUAAGCCUUUUUCUUUGGAUUAAGUAAGAGAGCAAAUAUAAGGAAAAAGCAGAGCGAAGGUAAAUUCUCAUUCUCAUUUGAUGUAAGUUAGGUGAACUUGUGUCUACAAUGCAAGUAUGGGUAUGGGUAUGGGUAUGCUUUCGUUUCAGACACGAAUGCGAUAUCGCUUUGCAGAACUUAAUAAAUGGAUUCGUCGGAUUAGGAAGGUUAGAGCAUCCUUCCUUCCUUAAAAGCUCCGUUUAGUGUAUGAAAUUUACUCAGCUGAGUAACAUCUGAGGUACCCUUCAUUGGAGCAAACUCAAUCCAACGUCCUACAGAAAUAUGUUCUCGUUUGAUGGCGCAUUUACCUUUAAAUGAAGCGAUACGACGGACCAUGUAACUUAGCUGUAUUGGUGGUCAUAAAGUGGUGAAUUCUUUGAAGCCUAUCUAAAAUUUGUGAUCUGAUGUGUACGUGGAAUUACCCGUCACCACAUAAUCCGAUGUCUAGUUACAUAUUUUACAAAGACGAAGUGAAACAAGGAAGUAGUGGACAAAGAUGAAGUGAAACAUAAAGUUCCACUACGUGAAGUAGUGCAACUAAUUGGGCAAGACUAAUUGGAAGGAACCUUUACUUACAGCACAACUACAUACAUUUUCGACAGGAGUUUCCACAGAAGUUACUAAUAUGGGAAAUCUAAGUAAAUGGUCUGUAGUGUUACAAUUAACGCUAGCGAAAGGGUGCGUCUUGUUAAUUGGAGAUAACCAACCAAGAACCAAGAUAACGAUACUAUGACUUUAUCGAAAAUAAUAAUGUAUUUGCUAAUACAACUUCAUCAAAGGAUUUUUUCGAGCACUGCGUAGUGUUGUUGCGUGACUCGAUUCUUUUGGGUGUC
Molecule: long non-coding RNA, 1126 nt
Organism: Teleopsis dalmanni
Lineage: Eukaryota; Metazoa; Arthropoda; Insecta; Diptera; Diopsidae
Exons: 6
Source: RefSeq, a predicted model, not a curated record